Molecule: long non-coding RNA, 317 nt
Organism: Pteropus alecto (black flying fox)
Lineage: Eukaryota; Metazoa; Chordata; Mammalia; Chiroptera; Pteropodidae
Exons: 3
Source: RefSeq, a predicted model, not a curated record
CAGGAACUAUGAAUGAAUGAAAUGUAUUCACCAAAAGAUAACUGGGAAAUUAUGGCAAAGGGACCAAUGUGAAGUUUGAUAGGACACUGGAGCAUAAGCAUGAGCAGUGGAGACACACUCAUAUGCAUCAUCUGCCACCACUCCUUGCUGCCCCAUCUGCAUAUCGCCUUCACGACAGCCUGUGAGAUUCCAGUGGACCUGUGAUGUGUGGGAGUUCAGCAAGACCCAGGGUGGGUACAAGCGAACAAAUAAAGAAGGCUCAUCAAACCGAGAGCAAAAUCCAGUAACUUAAAAGAGAAGGCCCUGGAUGAGUGAAC